Non-coding RNA from Beta vulgaris subsp. vulgaris (sugar beet), 71 nucleotides. The record is from Rfam. Lineage: Eukaryota; Viridiplantae; Streptophyta; Magnoliopsida; Caryophyllales; Amaranthaceae.
UUAGUCUAUGAUGGCGAUAAAUAUACUUUGAGUAGUUAAAUACCAUGAAACCAACUUCAAGCUGAGGCUUU